This 467-nucleotide ribosomal RNA is filed under the name uncultured bacterium. Its description in RNAcentral is "partial 16S ribosomal RNA". It matches the Rfam family "Bacterial small subunit ribosomal RNA", at positions 28 to 507 of the family's 1533-position model. The record is from RNAcentral.
GACGAACGCUGGCGGCGUGCUUAACACAUGCAAGUCGAACGGAAAGGCCUCUUUCGGGGGGUACUCGAGUGGCGAACGGGUGAGUAACACGUGAGUAACCUGCCCUUGACUUUGGGAUAACUUCAGUAAACUGGGGCUAAUACCGGAUAGGAGCUCCUGCUGCAUGGUGGGGGUUGGAAAGUUUCGGCGGUUGGGGAUGGACUCGCGGCUUAUCAGCUUGUUGGUGGGGUAGUGGCUUACCAAGGCUUUGACGGGUAGCCGGCCUGAGAGGGUGACCGGCCACAUUGGGACUGAGAUACGGCCCAGACUCCUACGGGAGGCAGCAGUGGGGAAUAUUGCACAAGGGGUGGAAGCCUGAUGCAGCAACGCCGUGUGCGGGAUGACGGCCUUCGGGUUGUAAACCGCUUUCGCUCAUGACGAAGCUUUGUGUGACGGUAGUGGGUAAAGAAGCACCGGCUAACUACGUG